CCUACGGGAGGCAGCAGUGGGGAAUAUUGGACAAUGGGGGGAACCCUGAUCCAGCCAUGCCGCGUGUGUGAAGAAGGCCCUCGGGUUGUAAAGCACUGUCAGUGAGGAAGAACGCCUGGUGGUUAAUACCCAUCAGGAAAGACAUCACUCACAGAAAAAGCACCGGCUAACUCCGUGCCAGCAGCCGCGGUAAUACGGAGGGUGCGAGCGUUAAUCGGAAUUACUGGGCGUAAAGCGCGCGUAGGUGGCUUGAUAAGCCGGUUGUGAAAGCCCCGGGCUCAACCGGGGAACGGCAUCCGGAACUGUCAAGCUAGAGUGCAGGAGAGGAAGGUAGAAUUCCAGGUGUAGCGGUGAAAUGCGUAGAGAUAGGGAGGAAUACCAGUGGCGAAGGCGGCUUUCUGGUCUGACACUGACACUGAGGUGCGAAAGCGUGGGUAGCAAACAGGAUUAGAUACCCUUGUAGUC
Molecule: ribosomal RNA, 465 nt
Filed under: Vreelandella stevensii
Lineage: Bacteria; Pseudomonadati; Pseudomonadota; Gammaproteobacteria; Oceanospirillales; Halomonadaceae
Description: partial 16S ribosomal RNA
Rfam family: Bacterial small subunit ribosomal RNA
Source: RNAcentral